Non-coding RNA from Pelodiscus sinensis (Chinese soft-shelled turtle), 4467 nucleotides. The record is from RefSeq and is a predicted model, not a curated record. Lineage: Eukaryota; Metazoa; Chordata; Testudines; Trionychidae.
CAGAAAUUCAAGCGGCCAGUGUAGACAGCUGGCAAGUUUUUCCGGAAAAGCGGCUGAUUUUCCGGAAUAACUUGCCAGUAUAGACACAGCCCCCUAGAUUGACGAUAGCUGCUGCAUUUGAAAAUUAUUCAAAAUAAAGUUAUCAAUCCCCAUUAAAGAUUGGGGAAAUUUUAGGGCUUUUCUCUGCAUGUGCUGUCAUAUGAGCAAUGCUGAGAUAUCAUUUAAUCAUGAUGUACAUUAUCUUCUGGCAGGGAGCUGACUGGAAUAUCUACUUGACAAGACCAUCCAAGAGUUAGAGGAGCCACAUGCCCUCUUGACUCAUGAGCUGCUAAGUAAAAGUCCCUCCUGGUUACUUAAGUAUUAAUGAAAGGAUCAAUUUCAUUGCAAAAGGUCCUGAUAGUGAAAGAAAGGGCACCAGCACAAGUAAAGUCCAUCUCUAGAGCCUAAUUAUUUUGUUAGUUGCUUGCAGGAAACUCUCACUGCUGUCAGUAGCACUUAGCACACUUAGCACUUGAUCCUGAUAUGUUAUCUUAAUUUCAGGGGCUAGCAGAUUCUAAAAGAUGACACUGCCUAGGUCAGCUUUUGCAGAUUUUGCCUACAUGAUUUUUAUCAACCUUGGAAUGAACAGAAGCUACUGAUCAUUUAUUGAAGAUCUGUACACCAUUUUGCCUAAAGCAAGCUGCUGUGAGCUUGAGCCUUCAGGGGCAACAAAAUUUAAGUUGUUCCUAACCUUUUGCCUCAAGCCUCCACACAAUUCACAAACUCUUGCACUAUAGUGAUGGACUGGUUUGAUUAUUUUGUAACAUGUUCCUAUCUUUUUGUUUGUUAAAUAAGAAAGUCUACACACUGGCUAACUCUGUAGAUAUGGUUUAAUUUUGUUGUGACAGUUUGUUUUUUAGCUAUAGAGUGGGAAAUAAUUUUUAUUUGAACUGUGGGAAACUGUUAAUAAAUGUAAACACAAAACACACUUUGAUUGUGAAAUUAAAGCUAUGUCCUGUAUCCUCCAUAUCCUGCUGCUCUGAUUGCACUGUGCUAUCAGCCUAGGGCUCCUGGUAGGACAACUUUUUUGAAGGGACAUAUCAUAGCAAUAAUAGGUGAUACAAAGAAAAGGAAUAUUUCAGCAGAAUAACCAAUCAGACUGUAAAACUGUAUCCAAGGGAAAUGCUAAGAGGUGUAUCACUUGAGCCUUUCAGUGGAUCCACAAAACAGUAAUGACAUAAUCCUGCAUUUGUGGGUGCAGUCAGGACCAGGUGACUUGCCCUAAGUAAGUUUUUCCAUCUUUAAUUCAGGAGGUGUGAAUGAGUUACUAUUAGAAAGCCAUUUCCCACACAGAGAACUCCAUGAAUAUCUAGUCCUAUAGCAAUGGUAUGAAGGCAACAUUUGCCUACCCUGUUCCCAGGACAGUAAGUGACAUGAGGAAGAUUAGCGGGAAGGCAUGGAGGAGAGCCUGUAACUGAGGUUAAAGUCCUGUUUACAAAGACCUUUGCCAUAAUUCUUAGGAUUUUUCCACACUUGGAUAAACCGCAUAUCAGCUGAGUGUGCUGCAGCUUCUGCCAAGGUCACUGGGACUGAUGCCUCUGUUUGUGUCUCACUCCUGGCACUUCCUGCAUCAUACUUAAGACCUUGGUUGCUUUAUAAAUCAAAGAAAACUAGUCCUCCCUCAUAGGAGCUCUUUAGACACAAGGCUGAUUGCUAUCCUCCUUCCCAGUUCCCCCAAGUAUGCUGUGGUAAAACAGAGGGGGAUGAAAUAAAUGAUUUUCUACUGUUGUGCAACUGAAUUACAUGUGGAAGAAUUCCAUGCAGCUGCUGUUCAAGUAUCAAAAAAACUAUUAAGUGAAAGCCCAUUAGCACGGUGGUGAGCUAUGGCCCAUGGCCUGCAUGUGACUCAUUGGGGUUCCAUGUAUGGCCCAGGCACCCCCACUCAGCCCCCUUCCUCCACAGUUCCUGCAUACUGAGGGCCCCACACUUCCCUAUUUCUUCCCCUCCCUCCCAGCACUUCCAGAGCCCAAUGAAUCAGCUGAUUUAUGGAGUUCAAGCUCUGCAAGGGAGGAGGAGGAGUGGACACUGGUGCACUUGGGAGAGGAUGCGAAGAACAGGCCAAUCCUGUGACCAGGUCAGAGACCUAGUGCCCUGGAAAAUGUGACUGGAGAAACUGAAGAAUCUGCAUGUCAUUCAGGGAUGCAUUCUGGGAAUUAAGGACAAGGCGAAUUCAGAGCAAAGAAUACAACAAACUUAAGGAUUCAUAUACCAGUAUGUUUGGAGUGGGACCUGGGCUGCGCUGUGAAGACUGAUGCUUGGAUGCUACAGUGAUAGGUACCCUAACAAAUAGAUAUACCCAGAUUCAAUUUCUGGGCUCUUAUCUCUAUCUCAUAUAUGUAUAGAAUGGUUUUGGAGAUUGAAUGCUAAUUUGCAAAGGGAAAAGCAAAUUAGAGUAACAGAGAUUUUAAAUGUCUUAAUUUUGUGCGUUAACCUGGAAGACCAAGGAAUUGCUGCUGAGAAUUGGGUUUUAACCCCUCAAUGUGGUUUCAGAAAGUGUAAAUCAGUUGCAGAAUUUGGUCCUCUGUGAGAAUUUGAAUGUCAACUGAGCCCUAAUUUUCAAAAGUGGGCAUUACAUUUGGGUUACACUAAUAGCCAUAAUGAGAAGGUUAUCCCUAGAUAAAAUGGUUGAGAUCCUUUGGUCAUGGUGCCUGGUAGGGAUUAUAUACAUACUGGUUUAUUUCUGAACCAUCUGUGUAAGACCUCCUUCUGCCACCUUGUGGCCAUAUUCUAAAACUGACAUUCCCUGCAUGUGGAAAAGAAAUAGUACUGUAUUGUUAUGAAGCCACAGUGAAGGGUUGUAACUAGCUUUCUAUUAGAAGGGAAAUCGGUUGUGUAUUAUUUUCUGCCUAAAGAAGAAUUUCAUUUUCAUUGAAAGCUGGGGGCAAUUGAACAAGACACUCCCAAAAUAUGCCAGUUUGAUAAAUCAGUAGUAAAUCACAUCUGAUUCGACUUUGGCCAGUGUGAGUCCUGAAGCCACAUCUUCUUAUACCUAGCUGUGUCCUGUAGCCACAAGAUCAUAUUUUCCCUGCAAGGUCCCCCGACUUUAUAACAUUUGCAGUGGUCUUUGCAUUCUUUACUCUGAAUGUCUCUGCUCCUUGAUAGUCUCUGUUGACAUCAAAAUGGCAUGUUGGGUGUGUCUAUAAAGACAUAUGUAUAGUUUCUUUAAAUGGGUAACAUAAAGCUAGGCAGGAGGGUGCUGGGGAAGGUUCUAGGCAGUGGCUUUGCAAUUACAUGGAAAGAAUGAGUACAGUAACUUGAAAAGUAAUGCUAGUGUGCUUAUUUUAAUAAGGUUCUUAUUUAGUAUUGAAGGAAGUGACUAAUUAUGUGAUUCUACACAAUUGUCACAGGACUGUGUCCUCCAGUCUCACUUUCAUAGUCAGGUGGCUCAGCAUUUGGCAAAGGGACCGUGGUUUGCCCACCCAUGGCUUCAUAUAGUUGGUUGAAUGAUACAGGCAGUGACAUUAUCAUUUUAGUUUUAAAGGCAACCUCCGCUGCUUCACAUCUAAGAUGUUAACCUUCAGCUUCCUUGGCAGCCAGCCAGAUAAAACACUAAAGGCAGCCAACCCCGGCUCAGUGUACACUCGCCCAUUUAGAUGCUGCCUGGGAUAUCCAUUUCAGUGAUGAAAAUAAAUGCAGUUCAGGUUAAGUCACUUCUAAUGCCUCAGAGUUAUUUUCCACUGAACAGAACAUCAAGUCAAUGCAGGUGGCGUGUUUCUUGAAGCCAGACAAAUGCCAACACAUUUAUUGCAAAGCAGGAAAUGAUGGUAAGAUUUUCUCCUCCCAUCAGAGAACAGUUCUGUUCAGGAUGCCCAGCAUGCAGCCUGGUGGUGGUGAAUAUAAAAAAGUGACUUCAAAUGGUCUUUGCACUACCAGUAUUUUAGAACAGUCUAUACUUACCCAGACCUUUCUGUAACUUAGGCUGCUCAGUGUAAACAGCAAAGUAAGGCAGCCACAUAACAGUGUUUACCACACUGGGUCACCUUCAGUCCAUGCAUUAUGCUUUUCCGGAACAAUGGGUAAACAUCUUGCCCAUAAAAAAACAAGUGGGGGAAUAAAGAAGAAAGAGCCUGAAGCAUGGGCCUGGUGUUUAACCAAAGUUGUAUUAUAAGUAAUAAACAGGCCAUGUCAAAAGCAAGUGUUUGCCUUCAAGUCAGUGUAUCUCAGCACUAGAACUGCUAGCACUGAUAAAAGCACAUAUAACAUGUAAAUAUGUUCCAUUAAAACAGUACAAAAACACCCACCUAAGUACAUAAUAAAAUAGUUUAAAACAACAAAAGUACAAGCAUAACAAUGGGUAGUAAAUGCUUUAGAAAAAGUAUAAGGGGAGAAACCAAAUGUGUCAUUAAUGUGUAAGGUGAUAUGUAUGGUGCAUAUCAUACAUUUUUCAUUUCUGUCUAUAAAUAUUGGGGUACCUCAACUUAAUUCUUU